AAGUUCGACGGGCCCCGCACAAGCAGCGGAGCGUGUGGUUUAAUUCGAUGCUACACGAAGAACCUUACCUGGGUUUGACAUAUAGGUUGUAGGGAACUGAAAAGGGACCGACCUUCGGGAGCCUAUACAGGUGUUGCAUGGCUGUCGUCAGCUCGUGUCGUGAGAUGUUCGGUUAAGUCCGCUAACGAGCGCAACCCUCGUCGUAUGUUAUAUGUGUCAUACGAGACUGCCGGUAAAAGCCGGAGGAAGGUGAGGAUGAUGUCAAGUCAGCAUGACCUUUAUAUCCAGGGCUACACACACGCUACAAUGGUCUGUACAACGGGUAGCCAAGCCGCGAGGCGGAGCCAAUCCUGAAAGCAGGCCUCAGUUCAGAUUGCAGGCUGCAACCCGCCUGCAUGAAGUCGGAGUUGCUAGUAACCGCGCGUCAGCACAGUGCGGUGAAUACGUUCCCGGGCCUU
RNAcentral lists this ribosomal RNA (458 nucleotides) under uncultured Anaerolineaceae bacterium. Its description in RNAcentral is "bacterial SSU rRNA". It matches the Rfam family "Bacterial small subunit ribosomal RNA", at positions 910 to 1382 of the family's 1533-position model. Lineage: Bacteria; Bacillati; Chloroflexota; Anaerolineae; Anaerolineales; Anaerolineaceae. The record is from RNAcentral.